Molecule: ribosomal RNA, 460 nt
Filed under: uncultured bacterium
Lineage: Bacteria
Description: partial 16S ribosomal RNA
Rfam family: Bacterial small subunit ribosomal RNA
Source: RNAcentral
CCUACGGGAGGCAGCAGUGAGGAAUAUUGGUCAAUGGGCGCGAGCCUGAACCAGCCAAGUAGCGUGAAGGAUGACUGCCCUACGGGUCGUAAACUUCUUUUAUAAAGGAAUAAAGUGAGGCACGUGUGCCUUUUUGUAUGUACUUUAUGAAUAAGGAUCGGCUAACUCCGUGCCAGCAGCCGCGGUAAUACUGAGGAUCCGAGCGUUAUCCGGAUUUAUUGGGUUUAAAGGGAGCGUAGACGGGUUGUUAAGUCAGUUGUGAAAGUUUGCGGCUCAACCGUAAAAUUGCAAUUGAUACUGGCAGUCUUGAGUACAGUUGAGGUAGGCGGAAUUCGUGGUGUAGCGGUGAAAUGCUUAGAUAUCACGAAGAACUCCGAUUGCGAAGGCAGCUUACUAAACUGACACUGACAUUGAUGCUCGAAAGUGUGGGUAUCAAACAGGAUUAGAUACCCGGGUAGUC